UGUCGCUGGUGCUGCUGAAAGGCGGGACGAGAGGAAAGUCCGGGCAGCAUAGGACGCCCCACUUCUGAAAGUGGAAGCUGUUGGUGACAGCAGGAUAAAGGCAGAAGAAAACAACCGCCACGCCUUGUGUGUGGUAAGGGUGAGAAGGUGGUGUAAGAGACCACCAGCCGUCGGGCGAUCGGCGGGCUGUGCCUUCUGGGGGCUGCAAGUUCAUGUAAACCAUCGUUAAAAGGGUUGUCCGCCCAAAUGCCUCGCGCUGCGAUGGAGGGUAGAAUGCUUAAGCCGUGUGGUGACAUACGGAUUAGAUAAAUGACAGGCGCGCCGCUGCUCGCAGUGGUGAACAGAACCCGGCUUAUAGGG
RNAcentral lists this RNase P RNA (360 nucleotides) under uncultured Prevotella sp. Its description in RNAcentral is "Bacterial RNase P class A". It matches the Rfam family "Bacterial RNase P class A". Rfam says of the family: Ribonuclease P (RNase P) is a ubiquitous endoribonuclease, found in archaea, bacteria and eukarya as well as chloroplasts and mitochondria. Lineage: Bacteria; Pseudomonadati; Bacteroidota; Bacteroidia; Bacteroidales; Prevotellaceae. The record is from RNAcentral.